GACGCUGGCGGCUGCCCUUACACAUGCAAGUUCGAACGGCAGACACGGGGUGUCAACCCUGGUGGACGAGUGGCGAACGGGUGAGUAACAUAUCGGAACGUGCCCUGGAGUGGGGGAUAACUAGUCGAAAGACUAGCUAAUACCGCAUACGAUCUACGGAUGAAAGUGGGGGAUCGCAAGACCUCAUGCUCGUGGAGCGGCCGAUAUCUGAUUAGCUAGUUGGUGGGGUAAAGGCCUACCAAGGCAUCGAUCAGUAGCUGGUCUGAGAGGACGACCAGCCACACUGGGACUGAGACACGGCCCAGACUCCUACGGGAGGCAGCAGUGGGGAAUUUUGGACAAUGGGCGCAAGCCUGAUCCAGCAAUGCCGCGUGAGUGAAGAAGGCCUUCGGGUUGUAAAGCUCUUUUGUCAGGGAAGAAACGGCGCUGGCUAAUAUCUCCUGCUAAUGACGGUACCUGAAGAAUAAGCACCGGCUAACUACGUGCCAGCAGCGGGGGG
This 499-nucleotide ribosomal RNA is filed under the name Oxalobacteraceae bacterium 60BC01. RNAcentral describes it as "bacterial SSU rRNA". It matches the Rfam family "Bacterial small subunit ribosomal RNA", at positions 33 to 521 of the family's 1533-position model. Lineage: Bacteria; Pseudomonadati; Pseudomonadota; Betaproteobacteria; Burkholderiales; Oxalobacteraceae. The record is from RNAcentral.